This 569-nucleotide ribosomal RNA is filed under the name uncultured sediment archaeon. RNAcentral's name for it is "bacterial SSU rRNA". It matches the Rfam family "Archaeal small subunit ribosomal RNA", at positions 455 to 1023 of the family's 1478-position model. The record is from RNAcentral.
GUGCCAGCAGCCGCGGUAAAACCACUUACACAAGUGGUCAGGAGGAUUAUUGGGCCUAAAGCAUCCGUACCCGGCUUUGUUAGUUUUCGGUUAAAUCUAUAUGCUCAACAUAUGGGCUGCCGGGAAUACUGCAAAGCUAGGGAGUGGGAGAGGUAGACGGUACUCCGUAGGAAGGGGUAAAAUCCUUUGAUCUAUGGAUGACCACCUGUGGCGAAGGCGGUCUACCAGAACACGUCCGACGGUGAGGGAUGAAAGCUGGGGGAGCAAACCGGAUUAGAUACCCGGGUAGUCCCAGCUGUAAACAAUGCAAACUCAGUGAUGCAUUGGCUUGUGGCCAGUGCAGUGCCGCAGGGAAGCCGUUAAGUUUGCCGCCUGGGAAGUACGUACGCAAGUAUGAAACUUAAAGGAAUUGGCGGGGGAGCACCACAAGGGGUGAAGCCUGCGGUUCAAUUGGAGUCAACGCCAGAAAUCUUACCCGGAGAGACAGCAGAAUGAAGGUCAAGCUGAAGACUUUACCAGACAAGCUGAGAAGUGGUGCAUGGCCCGUCGCCAGCUCGUGCCGUGAGAUG